CAUCCUACGGGGCGCAGCAGUGAGGAAUAUUGGUCAAUGGGCGGGAGCCUGAACCAGCCAAGUCGCGUGAGGGAAGACGGUCCUAUGGAUUGUAAGCCUCUUUAGGCGGGGAGCAAUGCCGGGCACGUGUGCCCGGAGGGAGAGUACCCGCAGAAUAAGCAUCGGCUAACUCCGUGCCAGCAGCCGCGGUAAUACGGAGGAUGCAAGCGUUAUCCGGAUUUAUUGGGUUUAAAGGGUGCGUAGGCGGGACCUUAAGUCAGCGGUAAAAUUGCGGUGCUCAACGCCGUAGAGCCGUUGAAACUGGG
This 305-nucleotide ribosomal RNA is filed under the name uncultured bacterium. Its description in RNAcentral is "bacterial SSU rRNA". It matches the Rfam family "Bacterial small subunit ribosomal RNA", at positions 335 to 637 of the family's 1533-position model. The record is from RNAcentral.